GGGCUGGCCGCUGGGGCGGAAUCGGGCUUUGCACGCCUGAUGUGCCGGGUUCGAUUCCCGGUCGGUCCA
RNAcentral lists this transfer RNA (69 nucleotides) under Archangium lansingense. RNAcentral's name for it is "tRNA-OTHER". Lineage: Bacteria; Pseudomonadati; Myxococcota; Myxococcia; Myxococcales; Archangiaceae. The record is from RNAcentral.